Molecule: long non-coding RNA, 9074 nt
Filed under: Marmota monax (woodchuck)
Lineage: Eukaryota; Metazoa; Chordata; Mammalia; Rodentia; Sciuridae
Source: RNAcentral
UUUGUUGAAGUUGAGGUUUGUUGAGUGUGCAUGAUAAACCAGUCUGUGCUCCUCCCUUAACAGAUAUUGUCUCCUUUAAUUCUCAUACAACUUAGAAUGUAGGACUUACUACUGUGCACUCCAUGUGACAGCCAGGAUUCAAAGUCCGGACUUUUUUACCCAUCAGCUCACACAGGCUCAUCAGGACCCCAAGGACUCAGAGCUCUGUGCAGACACCUCAAGAAAGCCUGCAAACCUAUCAGCUGAGACUCCUCAACCCUCCCUUUUAGAAGAAGGCUGCACUCUGGGGCUUCUAAAAUGAACAGAAUUGACCUGCUUGGUCUCCUGCCCCUCAGCUCUCCCAGGGUGGGACAGAAAAAGUGACACGGGCAGAAGUCAAGCCACUCACCAGGCAGGGAGGUGAAGCACAGCCUGGUCAUGAACUCCUGGGGAGCUUUCAAAUGCUCUGAUUCCUGAGUCCCACCUUCAUCCUACUGAAUGAAUCUCUAGAUAGGGGUCCAGAGAAUUCUACUUUUUAAAAGUCCCAGAACUGACUUUAAAGAUUAGCCAAACUUGGACUCAAUAACCCUUGAGAACUCCCUCAACACUUAAAUUUUAUGACAAUCUUUUCUUUAUAAUGCGUGUGUGUGUGUUUCCUUUGCCUGUGUGUGCACCUGUAUGUGAGGGUACACAUGACAAAAUGAGCCUAGAAAAAUGUAGAUUUUGCUAGCAUGAAACUCUAAUUCUUCUCAUUAGAAUGAAAUCACAAGUAAUUAGAAUCUCAUGGUCUGCAUCAACACACUUAACCUAUUGCUGGAGUUGUUGGAAAGGGAAGUAAAGCAAAUAUCACUGAGCAUUUAUUCAUUGAUGGAGAGAUUACAAUGCAUGCCAGAUGACCCUUCUCUUCUAUGCUAUAAGUCUCAUUGUACACUGUACAUAUUAAAGUAUAGAAUAUUGGGAUAAUAAUGGGCAGAGCCAGUAUUUAAAAGUAGUUUCUAACAUUUUAAAUGCAUUAUUGAAUCCUCCACAUAUCAGGUCUGUGAGGUGAGAGUUAUUACCAACUUUCUUUUACAGUUGAGGAGAUUAGAUCCAGAGAGGUCAAGUCCAUGGUCAAGAUCAUAGCCUUGACCUUGCAAGUCGUGAAACUGCUCAAGGGAUCCACGCUCAGAGCACCUGACUCCAGAGCCUACACACCCCACUGCACUUGGCAGAUGGUCUAGCAAUGAGUCCUUUUUAUUUCCAGGGAGCAUCUUUGCUUUCUUUCCCUGCCUUCUAAAAGUACUUAGCUUUGCUGUCUCCUACAAGUGGGGCAUAGCCAAGAUCCUACAUGUACUUGAGCAUCCUGCUUGUCAGCAUUUGGCCAUUAAGUUUCCUCUGUAACAGUCCCCUUUUAGUCAAUGAUAUAUUCACCCUUUCUUGUUCUCCCUUUGGAAGGUGGGCUGAGAGUUUUGGCCCUCUUGUGAGAAAAGAAAAAUCAAUCUUUUCUUUUGCCUCUUUAAAAAUCACCUGCUCUUUGCAUAUACUUUAUAUAUAUUUCCCUGAUAAAUUACAUAUAUAGAUCAUAUGACCUGUAUAAUUAUAUACAACAUACUUGAAGUGAGCAUUGCUCUUUGGGGUGUAUGAGUUUUGAUGUGCUUUUGAGGCGUCUCCCCUUUCCAGAAGCCAUGGUUCGAAUACAGUGGAGGGAAGGUGCUGGACACAGGGUCAAAGUCCUUCACUGAGUCCCAACAGAGCACUCACUAAACAUAAGCUCCAAGAGAGCAGCACGUUUUCUUGUUCCUACAACAGGGCCUGGCACAUACUAGCCUCUCAAUAAAUAGUAACUUUUAUAGUUACUAUAGUAUUUUUCUACAUGGUUUUAUUCUACAUACAGAAUAUAGCUGAAUUACACUUCAAUAACCUCUGUGAACCUAAGUUUCGACAUCAGCAAAAUGGGAAUAAAUAUUGUCUGCCAUGUAGGGUUUAUGUAAAAAUGAACCUUAUGUGUGUAACAGCACAAAUAAAAUGUAAAAUACUUUUUAAACAUAUAGGGGAAUGGACAAAACAGAAAGGAUGGAAUUGAUAUCAUAGAGCAAAACAACCAUAUGCUUCACAGAAAUGUCACCCUAAAUCCAUCAUUUGAAAAUUACUUCACAAUUCUGUUCUUAUCUGGCUACCUGUACUAUUUUCCUGCAGACUGUCUUGUUUUGCUUUUUAAAUAUAACUUUGUGAAAUUGUGGGUCUGGCAUAGUAGUGGUACACUUUUCUAAAACACAUAUUAUAAAGCACACAACCACCAACAUUGGCCAUGUUCCGUGAUCCUUGUACACCCUAAAUCACUCCCCAAGUCACUCCCCAGGUUUUCCCCCUUGGCCUAUGUGGUUUCUCCAGUUAAUUUUGGAGUAGGAUACACCUGCCCUUUACUCUGCUCACUCAAAACCCAUUUAAGUUCUUUAAAGUUAUGGUUUUGUUUUUGUUUUUUACUCUUUUUAAGUCUAUAAACCACAGAGAACCAAAGAUCUUAUAGAAAUGUAAGAAGUAAUAAAACAUCUAGCUCAAAAGGUCUCAACUUUAAUGCUAGGUACACAGAACCAUAUAUUUAAUACAGUGUCAGUGAUUGAUUUUCAAGGAUAAAACUGAAUGUGUGAAUUUUGCCUCAUGCUGUAACUUUAUAUCUGAAUUAUCAUAGCAUCAACAGGGCUGUGGGAUUGAAGCUAUCAUUAAUAUUACAUUAGAUCACACUACUAACAAACAUUUCCUUCCUGUUUCAAAGCUCCUGACUCUACUUAGAUGUUUUAGAAAACUCAUGUUCCUAGUCUACUUAGAUGAUGCCUUGAAUAGUUUUGGCUCAUUUGCAGAGCAGAGAUGACUGAUACCCCUAAAUCCCAACGAAUGAAGUCUUUCCCAGGUCCUAAUUACCACUACUUCUCACUUUUUCCUAAAAUUUUCUGAUCAUUCAUUGAUUCAUUCACUUAUUCACUCACUCACUCAAUGGGUACUUACUGAUCAUAUAACAGGUGCCAGGCAUGGUGUGGUAGAUUUAUUCUAUGAUAGUGAGCUAGGUAGAUGUGAAUCUUGGCUUCUGGAGCUUUCAUAGUAUACCCAAUGAAUAGGGAGAUGUUCAGGGAGAGUAUAACUGGAAGUUAAAAUAACCUGCAAGGUCAGAUUUCUGUAAAGAAGUAACAUUUAGCUGAGACAUGAAGUAACUGGAAGAAAAGGCUGAAAUGCCAUGAGAAUGAGAACCAGGAAUGCUGGAACGUUCAAACUGUAAUUACUACCAGCAUGUGAAAAAGCCCUGUGGUGGGAAGAAGCUCAGUGGGUUCUAGAUACUUGUCAGAGCAGAGAGGUUCAAAGAGUGACUAGAGAUGGUUCUGAGGCAUCAACAGGGCCAGAUCAACCCAGGUAUUGCAGGUAAUGUCAAAUAAGAAUUCUGAAGUCUAUCUUAAUAUCAAGAAAAAGCCAUUGAUGGGAGUGGCAUGGUCAGUGUUAUAUUUUUAAAUAUCACUCUGUCUACAUUGUGGAGAAAUGCAAAAGGAAAUGGAAAGGAAAUGCAAUUGUGCAUGUGGUUAUAAGAACACAGCAGUAACACAGGUGAAAAAUUGUGUGUGGAUGGGGAGAGUACAGCGAAGAUGAGGGUGGAGAGGGUUCAGAUGAGAGAAUUUUGCAGAACCUGGAGAUGUUUUGGACAUAGGUAAAUGGAGAAAGUAAGAAGGCCAGGUAGAUUCCUGGGUUCCUCUUGAAUAACUGAAUGAGUAAUGGGGCAAAAGUGGUACCAUUUGUGGGAUUAGGGUAGCCAAGAUCUGAGCAGGUUUGUGUGAGAAAUAGACAUCAAAUAGACAUCAAAGUGUAAGUGUCCAGUUUUACCAUAAAAAAGGCUUGUAGCUUAGAGGAGAGGUCAAGGCUGCAGAAAUAAAUUAACUAGCUAUCUAUCAUGGCUAUGUAAAUAAGCAAAAAAUAACAAUGAUGAUGGUAUUCCUCCAAAGCCCUUUGCUCAGGCAGAAAGAAAACUGGUAUGUCACAGGCAUGAAUCCUUACAUUGCAAUACUUGAUUCUCAACUCACCAGGCUGUAAACAUUAAAUAUGUACAUACUGGUUUUUGUAUGUUAUCAUACCUCAAUAAAGUAGUUUUUAAGAAUAUGAGGCAUAGAUGUCAGGCGCCGCACACGCCUGUAAUCUCAGUGGCUCUCGAGGCUGAGAAAGGAGGAUCGUGAGUUCAAAGCCAGUCUCAGCAAUGGUGAGGCACUAAGCAACUCAGUGAGACCCUGUCUCUAAAUAAAAUACAAAAUAGGGCUGGGGAUGUGGCUCCGUGGCCAAGAGCCCCUGAGUUCAAUCCCCAAUACCAAAAAAAAAAAAAUAUAUAUAUAUAUAUAUAUAUAUAUAUAUAUUGCAUAGAGGAAAAAAGAAACACUUGAUUUUCUUAUAUAAUAGUAAAAAACUUCAGAUAUUAAUGAUUUAAAUAAAAUAUGCCAAAAGAUUUAAUAAGCGAUUAUCAUUCAUAUGACUCAAUCUGCUCCAUCCAGACUGGUGGAGACUUUAGACUUUGACCUAGGAUUAUUUUCCUAGCUCAGAAGUGAUUGGGAAGAUUUUGUUUUUUGGAAAGCCAGACUUACUUGGGCAAAGUCCACAUUGCUCUGUGCAUUCUAAAAGAAGGCUGGGUACUGCUUAAAUUAAAAAGCUAAAGUAAAUAUAUAUGAGCACAUAAUCAAACCUCACACAUAAAUUAAGUAAGAAAGAAAAGAAAAGAAAAGGACAAAGUCUGACUUACUGAGCUCCCCAGUUCCAUAGAUCUGCAGUGUGGUCCGGGCAUUUGGCAUUACAGCCUGCACAGGUGAUUCUGAUACGAAGUCAGAGUUGAUGUGAAAGUUUAAAAAAGCAUCAUGUGCCUAACACACAGUAGAUGUUCAAUAUCCUUGUCCAAAAUGUUGAAUUUAACCACAAGGAAACAAUCAGAAAAGCCUAAGAUUGGUCAUUAUGCAAAAUAAUUGACCUGUACUCUUUAAAAUGUCAGUAUCAUCCCUUGGGCUUAAUCUCUAAUACUGAAAUAAAAAGAAAGAAAAGAAAAGAAAAUGUCAGCAUUGCAAACAAUGAAGACAGAAGAAGCAGGGGAGAAGGAGGAUGAAGGAGAAAGGAAGUGAGAGGUGAGAGGACCUUAUGUGGAUAGGCUAGGGGUUUUUUUGUUUUGUUUUGUUUUCUUGUGGUGCUGGGGCCUCAUAUGUACUAGGCCACUGCUCUACCACUACCACUGAGAUACACUUCCAGCCCCAGGAUUCUCUAAUUAGAGAUGAAAAGAGAAGAAAAUAAAAUAGAAUGCAUGAUUCUGGACUGGAUUCUGGGCCUAAAAAUUAAAACAUGAGCCAGGCACAGUGGCACAUGCCUAUAAUCCCAGGAGCUUGGGAGGAUAAGGCAGGAGGAUAGCAAGUUCAAAGCCAGCCUCAGCAACCUAGUGAGGUCCUAAGCAACUUAGCAAGACCCUGUUUCUAAAUAAAAUAUUAAAAAGGGCUGGGGAAUGUGGCUCAGUGAUUAAGCACUCCUGGAUUCAAAAAAAUAAAAACAAAACAUAAACAAAAUAUUGCUCUAAAUAGCACUAUUGGACCAACCAUGGAUAUUUGAAUAUGGAUUAUAUAUUAGAAUAGUAUUAGAUCAAUAUUAAGUUUCCUAAGUAUAAUAAUUGUAUUAUAAUCAUAUAAGGAAAAUGUGCUUACUCUUAAGAGAUUUGUGGUGUAUUUAGGGGAAAAGUGACUCUCUAAGUAAUUCUUACAUGGCUCAGAUGAAAGCAAUAUGUGGCAAAGUGUUGUUAAAGGGUUGGAGUACAUAGGUUGAUUUUCAGGAGAUUUAAAACUUUGUUUUUUUUUUUUAGAGAGAGAGAGAGAGAGAGAGAAUUUUUUUAAUAUUUAUUUUUUAGUUUUCGGCAGACACAACAUCUUUGUUUGUAUGUGGUGCUGAGGAUUGAACCUGGGCCGCACGCAUGCCUGGCGAGCGUGCUACCGCUUGAGCCGCAUCCCCACCCCCAGAUUUAAAACUUUUUAAAAUAAUGACUAAUAUUUUAUUAAUGCUUACAGAGACACCACAUGGAAUUGUGUGUGUGUGUGUGUGUGAGAGAGAGAGAGAGAGAGAAAGAGAGAGAGAUCUCAUACUCACACACACACACACACAAACACACAAACAAACACACACACCAAACAAAAUACCAAGCAGAUUAUUCUGUGUUCACAAAAACCUAGGCACUUGAAAAACAAACAAACAAAAAAGACAAUGUUGGGAAAAACAUAAAUUAAAAGAGUUUUUCAUCUUUUAUAGGAAACUCACAGGCUGCAGAAUUUCUGGACUAUCAAGCAAGGAAUGAAUAUUGUCACAGAAAAAUUGGGAAAAUGGAAGCAUGGCUCCAUGAACGAGAGGCCCGGGGACAGAUUCUCUGGGACAUUUCCAGCUCAGACUCAGAUGAGCAGGGAAAUGAUGAUAAGAAGCCACGAGCACUGGUGAGGACCAGGACAGAGAGAAUCCCACUUUUCGAUGAAUUUUUUGAUGGAGAAUAAGAGUGUCACUCACUCAGUGAGAUAGUGGGGGCACUGAAAAUUUGUUUUCCUAUCCUUCAAAUUAGAUUUUUUUAUUGACUUUGAGGAAAGCAAUUCACCUUAAUAAACAGGACACUAUUUCGGAGUCUUCUGUCUAGAAGAUCUAUCAUAUAUCUGAUAACUAUUGCUGUAGAACUACCUGCUGCUCAACACUGAGGGGCUGAAACUGUUAAGGUUGGACGAGCGUCAGAGGAAGAGACCACCAAGAGACUGUCUCAUGCAACAGCAGAGGGUUUAUUGGGGGUCCAGCAUGCUGGGGCUCAGAGCUCACUUGAAUGGAGCAGAGAGCCCCCGAGAACAACUUAAGCAGAGCUUAUAUACAUUCUUUGGAGAGGGCAGGGACUUUACAUACAUCACAGCAUCCCUUAGCAAAUCAUCACAUACCGUGGGAAAAUCAAAUAACAACUCUAAAACAUGAUUAGCACAUUCACUGGUGGGAACAAGUUGGGUAGGGGUGAUUGGUCAGCACAAACAAAGGGGUAUAUAUUUGAACUGGUUGGAUUAAGCCCUGAGGUGUGUACGUGCUGAGCUGCAUGGUCUCUGGGAGGGAUUGUUUUUACAGAGUGACCAGAUGGUCAGGAGAGAUUUUUCAACAUACAUUUACUGGUCUCUCCGGGAGUUGUUUUGACCCCUCCAUAAAUUUCAGAUCCCAGGAAAACAGAACUUAAAGAAAUUGUAACUUAACAGAACUUAAAACAAAUCUUAUCCUUUACAUUUUAACCUUUCAAAACAACAGCCAUUCUAUUGUCUCACCCUUCUGUGGGUGGCUGGGCUCAGCAAGGUGACUCUUCUGCUGGUUUCUUUUGAAAUCUCCCAUGUAGUUAAAAUCAGACCAGAGUCUGGACUAGAGUCAUCUGGAAGCUUAAUUAGCACACUGGAAUAGCUGGGCCCUGCCUCUUCUCCAUACAGUCUCAGAGCCACUUCCCAUGGCCUCUGCUGCUGGGUGGAGACAUUUUCUAUGAAGAAAAGGGAUAUCAGCCCUUUUUUUCUAUUAGCCAAGGGCUCCCAAAAGCAAAUGUCCCAAGAAGAAGAAACAGAAGCUGCCAGUCUCGAGGUCUCUAGUCAUGGAACUGGCUCUGCAGUACAUCCAGCACAUCUGUUGGUAAACAGGAGUCAAAUGCCAACAGAAGUGUCUAUGCAGGGCAUGAAUGCCAAACCAUAGUAAUUUGGAGUCCCUCUUAGAACCUUGCUACCACACCAUGCUUUUAAAAGCAAAUUAUACCAUAUAGAAUAAAUAGAUGAGAGAGUAGACUUGAUACAAAUGAAAGUGAAUUUCUAAGAAAAAUCACAAUUACGCUAUAUUGGACACUAAGCUUGUUUAGGUCACAUUUUUGUGAGUUGACCAUAACAGAAAGGCUUCAAGAAAGGAAUGGAAUAAUGUCAGAUGUGAAAGGUCAUUAUGAAUUAAUAAUAGCUCAAAAUUAAGAACUCUUAGAUUAUGAUGUUUAUUUUAGAGCUCUUUGAAACUUAAAGAAUGGGCCUGGAAUUGUAACUCAGUGGUAGAGCACUUGCCUAGCACGUGUGAGGCCCUGGGUUCGAUCCUCAGCACUACAUAAAAAUAAAUAAAUAAAGGUAUUGUGGCCAUCUACAACUAAAAGAAUUUUUUUAAAUAAGUAAAAUAAAACCAAAGGAAAUCUUAGAAAUGUUCAGUCCAGAAGUUGUUCUAUUUGUAAAAAUUAUAUUUUCAUGCAAUUUUUAUGAACUUCCUUUGUAUAUGAUUCAGCUCCAUGUCUAGCAUAGUCUAAAAAAAAUAGCUGAACUGUGGGCACAGAGAAGGAUGAAAGCACCAAGAAAGGCAGAUGAGAGAGUGGAGACAUACUUAGCCCCCUUCAGGAUUUGGCAGGGGAGCAGCAGGAUGAAGCAAUCCAGAAACUUCCAAGAAUCUAAUAAAAUUUUAGAACAGAAUAAUUAAAAAAAACUCUCUUGAAACCUUCAAAUGGAAACUUCAAAAAAGGAAAAAUAGAAAUUCGACAUUAAGUCCAUCCAGACCAAUCUUACUACGAAGACAAAAAGCCUGAUAUGUCAGGGGAUGAGCAUUCAGAUUUUUCCCAAGACAACCCCAUCCCUGGGCACAUCUAUUCCCAGCACUCUGUGAGUACUCCUCCUACUAUUUUUGUACUCAGCAAGAAGCUUAUUUCCAGCAGAUGAAUUUAUAAAUUGUUUGACCAGCUAGAUUUUUCAAAAAAGAUCCUUGAGAGGAUAAAUAAAUGCAGCAACCUCUGCAUAGUGUCCUCAGAUAUUAUGGUGAAACUGGAAAUUUUAAAGUAGGACUGGAAACUCCCAGGGGCUGAAGUCAGAGGGGCAAAGCAUGCCUUUAUUGCUCUGCUCUGUCACUUGAAAUUGGACAAAGCUCCCUUCUGCAAACUCACCGGACUGUGAGCUUCAUGAGGGUACAGACCAUGUCUUCUCCCUGUGGUAUCAACACUUCCUAGCACAACAUCUGUUGCAGAGUUUACUAUUAAAUGUUAGCUGGAUUAAUUAAUGGAUGUGUUAACUAGUCAAUUAGAGAAGCACUUGUUUCUCUCCAGCUAUGCAGUUGCUUAC